AUUGAACGCUGGCGGCAGGCCUAACACAUGCAAGUCGAACGAGUGGCGGACGGGUGAGUAAUGUCUGGGAAACUGCCCGAUGGAGGGGGAUCACUACUGGAAACGGUAGCUAAUACCGCAUACCAUCUGAUGUGCCCAGAUGGGAUUAGCUAGUUGGUGGGGUAACGGCUCACCAAGGCGACGAUCCCUAGCUGGUCUGAGAGGAUGACCAGCAACAAGGGAACUGAGACACGGUCCAGACUACGACGGGAGGCAGCAGUGGGGAAUAUUGCACAAUGGGCGCAAGCCUGAUGCAGCCAUGCCGCGUGUAUGAAGAAGGCCUUCGGGUUGUAAAGUACUUUCAGCGAGGAGGCGUUACCCGCAGAAGAAGCACCGGCUAACUCCGUGCCAGCAGCCGCGGUAAUAC
Molecule: ribosomal RNA, 406 nt
Filed under: uncultured bacterium
Lineage: Bacteria
Description: partial 16S ribosomal RNA
Rfam family: Bacterial small subunit ribosomal RNA
Source: RNAcentral